GUCGGGAUAGCUCAGUUGGUAG
Molecule: transfer RNA, 22 nt
Filed under: Narcissus gaditanus
Lineage: Eukaryota; Viridiplantae; Streptophyta; Magnoliopsida; Asparagales; Amaryllidaceae
Also listed under: 5 other names
Description: partial tRNA-Phe
Source: RNAcentral